RNAcentral lists this ribosomal RNA (1304 nucleotides) under Prolasmidonta heterodon. Its description in RNAcentral is "16S ribosomal RNA". It matches the Rfam family "Bacterial large subunit ribosomal RNA", at positions 566 to 2751 of the family's 2925-position model. Lineage: Eukaryota; Metazoa; Mollusca; Bivalvia; Unionida; Unionidae. The record is from RNAcentral.
GCAAAACUUAAUUUUUUCCACAAGAUUUAAAAAAAAUUUUUUACUUUAGAAAGUACUUUUUAAAAAAUUACUUAAUUUAAUUAACCGCAAGGGCUCACACUCAGCUUCUUUAAGAAAUGAUAAUCUCAUGUCCCUUUUGCAUCAUGGAGAAGCAACAAAACUUUAUUAAAUAUACACUCCCGAAUGACUAUGAGCUACUAAUAAUUAAAAACCAAUGUUUCAUAAUUGGUAAAGUAACUUUUAGUAGAAGUGACAAGCUUUUCAUAUAGUCGUAUAGCUGGUUUUUCUUUAAAAGCAUCAAAGUGCUGGCUUAUAGGGUAAAUCAAUACUCUAACCUAUAAAGCUUAACCUAUUGAGGAUUAGCUCAAUAGGACAUUUUAAAAUACUUUACUUCCUAACUAAAUAAGUAGGCUUAAAAACAGCCGUCUAAUAGCGUUUUAGUUACAUACAUGUAAUAUCAAAUAUUUAUGCUCCGCAUUUUAAACUCAAAGAAAUUUAACAAAAAAUUUACUUGCUAUUAAACAGGCAUUCUAUUAGUAUUUAGUAUAAAUCACUAUCCAAGGUUUUUAAAAAAUUUGGAUUAAAACACUCUAUAAUAUGUUAAUUAUGUAAAACGAACUCGGCAAAUCAGUUCCCUGCCUGUUUACCAAAAACAUCGUCUUCUGAAAAAUCUCUUAAUAAAAGAUAAUGCCUGCCCAGUGAAAAUUUUAAACGGCCGCGUUAACUUGAGCGUGCUAAGGUAGCGUAAUAAUUAGCCUCUUAAUUGGAGGCCAGUGAAAGGCAAGACUAGGAACACCUUUACUUUGCAUAUGAAAAAAACUUUUCAUCUAAGCGAAAAAUCUUAGAUAAUAAAGGUAGACGAAAAGACCCCGCGGAGCUUUACCUUUUCUCGUACUACUGUAUAGUACCUCAAGUACUUAAGGUUUGAUUGGGGCAAUCUCGGAACCAAUAAAGCUUCCGAUUCUUUAAAAACUCUAUUUAAAAUUUGUUAAGGACAAAAAAGAAGUUACCCCGGGGAUAACAGCGUAAUCCAACUCAAGAGUACAUAUCGAAAGUUGGGUUUGCGACCUCGAUGUUGGCUUAAGAAUAUCCACAUAAGUGCAACCGCUAUGACAGGAUAGUCUGUUCGACUAUUAUACUCUUACACGAGCUGAGUUAAGACCGGCGCAAGCUAGGUUGGUUUCUAUCUCCUUUAACCUAAAAAUCUUCUUAAUUGUACGAAAGGACCCUAAGAGCUGCAUCUAACAAAGCAUUUCCUUAAGUUAUCUUUAUUUUACAAAAACUAACUAUACCCACUACCCACU